RNAcentral lists this microRNA precursor (132 nucleotides) under Ornithorhynchus anatinus (platypus). RNAcentral describes it as "microRNA oan-mir-16a precursor". Its record names the gene oan-mir-16a. The stretch from base 16 to 104 matches the Rfam family "mir-15 microRNA precursor family". From Rfam's summary of the family: This family represents the related mir-15a and mir-15b sequences. In humans miR-15a and miR-16 are clustered within 0.5 kb at 13q14. The record is from miRBase by way of RNAcentral. Lineage: Eukaryota; Metazoa; Chordata; Mammalia; Monotremata; Ornithorhynchidae.
CACUGUGAUCUCAUUGUCAGCAGUACCUUAGCAGCACGUAAAUAUUGGCGUUAAGACUCUAAAAGUAUCUCCAGUAUUGACUGUGCUGCUGAAGUAAGGCUGACUACUCUCUACAACUGACAAUCAAAAGUG